Molecule: long non-coding RNA, 5017 nt
Filed under: Homo sapiens (human)
Lineage: Eukaryota; Metazoa; Chordata; Mammalia; Primates; Hominidae
Description: HSALNT0177829
Source: RNAcentral
GGAUGUGCUAAAGCAGUGCUUAAUGGGAAAUGUACAGCCUUAAAUGAAUAUAUUUAAAAGAAGAAAGCUCUAAAAUCAAUAAUCUUGACUCCCAUCUUAGGAAAGUAAAGGAAAAAGGGCAAAAUAAGCCCAAAGCGAAUGAAAGAAUAAAAAUUAGAAAUCAAGGAAAUUGAAAAUAGGAAAACAAUAAAGCAAACCAAUGAGACAAAAUAAAGCUGGUUCUUUAAAAAUAUCAAUCAAUUUAAUAAACCUCUAGCAAGGUUAACCAAGAAAAAAGAGAAGACACAAAUUAGUAGUGUCAGAAAUGAGAAAGUUUCAUCAUUAUUGAUUCCUUGGACAUUAAAAGGAUAGUAACAGAAUACUACAAAUAACUAUGCCCCAAAAUGUGAUGGCUUAGAUGAAAGGAACCAAUUUCCUGAAAGACACAUAUCACCAAAACUCACACAAGGAGAAAUAAAUAACUGGAACAGACCUAUAUUUACCAAAGAAAUUCAAUCAAUCAGUUCCAGAUUGUUUUACUGGUGAAUUCCACCAAAUAUUAUAUUUAAGGAAGAGGUAAAAUCAAUUCUCCAUAAUUUCUUCCAGAAAAUAGAAGCAGAGGGAAUGGUUCCUAACUCAUUUUAUUAGUCUAGCAUUACUUUGAUACCAAAACCAGAUAAAGACAUUACAAGAAAGGAAAACUAAGAACCACAUUUUUUAUAAACAUAGAUACACAUAUCCUUAAAAAAUAUUAGCAAAUGGAAUGCAUCAAUAUAUAAAAAGGAUAAUACAUCACAACCAAGUGAGGUUCAUUCCUAGAAUGUGAGGCUGGUUCAACAUUCGUAAAUCAAUCCAUGUAAUUCAUCAUAUUAACACAUUGAAUUAGAAAAACCAUCUGAUUAUAUCAAUAGAUGCUGAAACAGUCAACAUCAUGUUUCAUAGAAUAAAAACAUUCAACAAAAUCUAACACUCAUUCAUGAUAAAAACUCUCAAAACACUAGGACUAGAGCAACUUCCUUACUCUAAAAAAGAAAUGUUAUGAUUCACAUCAGACUUAACGGUGCAAGACUGAAUGUUUUUCCCCUGACAUUGGGAAGAAGGCAAGGAGGUUCCCAUUCCCAUUCAACAUCAUACAGGAAGUUCUGCCUAACAGAAUAAAUUUAGAAAACGAAAUAGGUAUUCAGAUGGGAAAGAAAAAGAAACUCAAUUUUUUUGCAGAUGACAUAAUUGGCUAUGGGAAAAACUCCAAAGAAUCUACAAAAACAACUCCUGGAACUAAAAAGCAAGUAUAGCAAAGUCUCAGGAUACAAGGUCAAUAUACAAAUGUCAAUUGAUUUCCAAUAAACCAACAAUGAACAAUUAGAAUUUCAAAUUGAAAAAAAUACUAUUUAUAGUAGCACCAAAAGAAUCAAGCACUUUAUAAAUCUAACAAAAUACAUCCAGGAUUUUAUGCAGAAAAUUACAGGACAUUGAUGAAAGUAGUCAAAUAAGAUCUAAAUAAAUGGAGAGAACUUCUGGGUCAUACGAAGACUUAAUAUUGCUCAGAUAUCAAUUCUUCCCAGCUUGAUCCAUAGAUUCAAUGCAAUCUCAAUAAAAACCCCAGCCAACUAUUUUGUAGAUGUUGACAAACUAAUUCUAAAAUUUAUACGGAAAGACAAAAAAACCUAGAAUAGCAAACAUGAUACUGAAGAGCAAAGUUGAAGAACUUAUACUACUCAAUUUUAAGUUUUACUAAAAGCUACAUUAAUUAAGACACUGUGGUAUUGGUGAAAGAAUAAAUACAUAGAUCAAUGGAAUGAAACAGAGAGCUCUGAAAUAGACUUGUAGAAAUACAGUCAACUGAUGUUUGACAAUGGCAUAAAGGCAAUUCCGUGGAGAAAAAAUAAUCUUUUUCAACAAAUCGUGCUGGAACAAUUAGAUAGCCAUUAAAUAAGAGAAUCUAGACAAAAAUUAUUACAGAAAAAUUAACUCAAAUGGAUUAUAGACCCAAGUGGAUUAUAUUUAAUACUAUAAAAUGUACUGUAAAACUUCUAGAAGAAUACAUAAAUAAAAUCUACGUGCCCUGGGUUUGGAGAUGAGUUUUUAGACACAGCACCAAAAGCAUCAUCCAAGAAAACAAUAGAUAAGUUGAAUUUUAUUAAAAUCAAAAAUUUUUGCUCUGCUAAAGAAUGAAGAGACAAGGCCAAGAUAGGAAAAAAAUAUUUGCAAAAUGCAUCAUACCUGAUAAUGGACAUGUAUCCAAAAUAUACAAAGAAUUUUAAAAAUACAACAAUAAGAAAAAAGGACAACUCUAUUUUAAAAUGGGCAAAGGACAAAGGAUCUGAAAACAUAUCUCAUCAAAAAAGAUAUAUAGGCCAGGCACAGUGGCUCACACCUGUAAUCCUAGCACUUCGAGAGGCAGAGGCAGGAGGAUCGCAUGAGUCCAAGAGUUCAAGACCAGCCUGGACAACAUAGGGAGACCCCGUCUCUGUUUUUUUAAAAAAAGAUAUACAGAUGGCAAGUAAGCAUGCCUUAGCUCGGGAUGCUGUAACAAGAUGUCACAGACUGAGUGGUUUAAACAACAGAAAUUUGUUUUCUCAUAGUUCUGGAGGCUGGAAGUUCAAAGUCAGGGUGCCAAUGGGGUUGAGUCCUGGUAAGGACCUCCUUCCUGGCUUAUAGAUGGUGACUCCUCACCACGUCCUCACAUGGUCUUUCCUGAGUGUGUGUGUAUGGAGAGAGAGCAAAUUCGGGUCUCUCUUCCUCUUAAAAAGACACCAGUCCCAUCAUGAGGGUUCCCCUCUAAUGUCUGUAUUUAACCCUAAUUACUUCCAUAAGGGUCUUAUCUCCAAAUACAUCCACAUUGGGGUUGGGGCUUCAACAUAGGAAUUUCGGGGAUCACAAACAUUCAGUCCAUAACAAAGUAUAGGAAAAGAUGCUCAAUAUAAAAUGCUAUUAGGGAAAUGCAAAUUAAAAUAAGGAAAUACCACUUCACACCUAUGAAAGUGACUAAAAUCCUUAACACCAACAGCACCAAAUGCUGGUGAGGAUGUGGGUCGACAGGAGCUCUCAUCCCAGCACUGGGAAUGCAAACGGGGCAACAGGAGCUCUCAUCCCAGCACUGGGAAUGCAAACGGAGCAACAGGAGCUCUCAGAGAAGGAACCAACCCUUGACUGUGGACUGCUGGCCUCCAGAAUGAUCCAAGAAAUUUUGACCCAGGAUUCCAGGUCCCAAAUCACAGAGCCUUUCUGGCUGCUUUCUGGCAGUAUGAGUGCAGCAGCUGGAAGAAAUUAGGGGUCUCCAGGUGCACCAAGAAGGGGGAUCGAUGUUCAACAUCAGCAUGCAGAAGACUUUCCUGUGGAGCUGAAACAGGUUGCUUACAGUGUGAAGAAAAAAGGGCUGUUUUAUGAAGUACCUUUCUCUGUUAAUUUGGACAAUCACAGGAAUGAUCUGAUGAUGAAGAUAUGUUUGUUUUAUUUAUUGUGUUUGAGACAGAAUCUCACUCUGUUGCUCAGGCUGGAGUGCACUGGCGCGAUCUCGGCUCACCAUAACCUCCGCCUCCCAGGUUCAAGUGAUUCUCCUGCCUCAGCCUCCUGAGUAGCUGGGUAGCUAGGAUUACAGGCAUGCGCCACCAUGCCCGGCUAAUUUUUGCAUUUUUAGUAGAGACAGGGUUAUACCAUGUUUGCUAGGCUGGUCUCAAACUCCUGACCUCAGGUGACCUGCCCACCUCGGCCUCCCAAAGUGCUGGGAUUACAGCAUGAGCCACCAUACCCAGCCAUGUUUAUGUUUUUAUGCAUAUGUGAUACGAACAGAAGGCAGAGAAAUAUUGGGUAACAAAAGGCAGUUCCCCGGCAAAGGCUCCACCCUCAAGCCUGGAAACCUCAGCCCUAAAAGAGAACAGUUAUCCCUGUUUUCCCACCCAAAUGUUACUUUUUUGGCCUGCCCCAUUUCCCUAUCCUGUGCUUAUAAACCCCAGACCUUAGCUGGCAGAAGGACAAGUGGCUGAACAUCGAGAGAAGAAGCAACUGAACAUCAGAGACUACGGAUAGAUGCAGCUUAACUUCAGACGGCACAGCUUCCGAGACGAACCCAGCUGAAGAUGGCAGGCUUCAGGGAAAGAUCACCUUCUUCCCACACCAUCCCCUUUCCAGCUCACCUUCUGCUGAGAGCCAUUUCCACCGCUUAAUAAAAUCCUCCACAUUCAUCACCUUUCAAACCAUUCGUGCGACCUGAUUCUUCCUGGAUGCUGAACAAGAACCAGGGUACCAAGAGGGCAGGGUGUAAAAAACUGUCACCCUGACUCUCCAUUGAGCUGGUUAAUAUUUAGCUAUCUGUGGAUGGCAACUGUUAAAAGGGCAUUAACUGUAACACACCCCUAGACACUGCCAGGGUGCCAGAGCCUAAAAGCGCUCGCCCUAGCCCCAGCACCUGCUUGCCUGCAUGCUCCCCCUCCCGAAGGGGUUUGAGUGCGAGUAAGUGAGCCACACCCCUGUCGAAAGUCCAGCGAAGGGGUCAAGGGAAUUCUCCCAUCUCGUAUGCACAAUGAUUUCUGACAUUUUUGUUGAGUUUCUGGCUUUUCACGAAGCACCUCUACACUAGCAGACAGGCAGGGUGGGCACCUGAUAUCCCCACUCCACAGGAUGGGGAGACUGAGGUCUGGGAAUCAGGUCAGUCUUUUGCAAUAAGUGAGAGACUAAAGUGCUUCCAACAACAGGGCUCUGGUGCUGGAAGCACAGAGCAGGUGUGGAGGGGCGGUCACUCUGUGCCCCAUGGGUGUGUUCCCUGGGUUCCCCCAGCUCUGCUCAGCCCUGCUUCUCGGCUCUGUCCCUGAGCUGUGGCUCCCCUUCCGGGCACGAGGUUUCUGUGCUUCCUUUCUUAGACCCAGGACAACACUUGCCGUCACACGGGGCCUGUGCUUGGAACAGCCCCAGCUUUGGUUUAAUGUUCUGCUGUCACCAUCUUAUCAUUUUUAGUAGUCUAUCUUUGAACAUGUGUCUUGUAACUGAAGUCCAAUGGGACAGUGGAGUGUGUCUGUGGCAGGAGGCUCAAGCUGGGUGUAUG